RNAcentral lists this ribosomal RNA (496 nucleotides) under uncultured bacterium. Its description in RNAcentral is "partial 16S ribosomal RNA". It matches the Rfam family "Bacterial small subunit ribosomal RNA", at positions 29 to 507 of the family's 1533-position model. The record is from RNAcentral.
ACGAACGCUGGCGGCGUGCCUAAUACCUGCAAGUUGAGCGAUGAAGAUUGGUGCUUGCACCAAUUUGAAGAGCAGCGAACGGGUGAGUAACGCGUGGGGAAUCUGCCUUUGAGCGGGGGACAACAUUUGGAAACGAAUGCUAAUACCGCAUAACAACUUUAAACAUAAGUUUUAAGUUUGAAAGAUGCAAUUGCAUCACUCAAAGAUGAUCCCGCGUUGUAUUAGCUAGUUGGUGAGGUAAAGGCUCACCAAGGCGAUGAUACAUAGCCGACCUGAGAGGGUGAUCGGCCACAUUGGGACUGAGACACGGCCCAAACUCCUACGGGAGGCAGCAGUAGGGAAUCUUCGGCAAUGGACGAAAGUCUGACCGAGCAACGCCGCGUGAGUGAAGAAGGGUUUCGGAUCGUAAAACUCUGUUGGUAGAGAAGAACGUUGGUGAGAGUGGAAAGCUCAUCAAGUGACGGUAACUACCCAGAAAGGGACGGCUAACUACGUG